Solanum tuberosum (potato) is the source of this 3801-nucleotide long non-coding RNA. RefSeq lists it as uncharacterized. NCBI's taxonomy places the organism in Eukaryota, Viridiplantae, Streptophyta, Magnoliopsida, Solanales, Solanaceae. The record is from RefSeq and is a predicted model, not a curated record. The transcript is spliced from 6 exons.
AGUCUCAUCUAUGGAUUGGCUAGUGAUUACUUUGGUGGUUUGGGGUUCAUUGGAUUUGCAAUUAACCUUAACUGUUCCCUUUUUUCUAUUCUUGCAGCCAUCGGUUACAAGGUAGUGAAUUAUUCUUUGAUGGGGCUGCCCUAUUCGUCUGUUUGUUGUUGAGGUUUCUUUAGUCAAGUCUUUUAUGAGUAUUCUGAUUUUCGAUUCAGUUUUCUUCCCUAAUGAAUCCUUUGACUUUGCCAAAACUAUUGUUGUAGGGAAGUUUCUCAACAAAGAUAUUUAUUUUCACUGGUAUAUGUUAUAUUUUGCUGCCAUGAAGUUUUUAGUCCAGACAGUUGCAUUUUUCGAUGAUCCAAUUGAUGAGGUCUCCUAUGACUAUGAACACUUGAUAAGUACUCGUUCUAGAUCUUUUUAUAGUGGUGUAAAAUACUUAUUUCACUUUUAUUCUUGUAGCUACUUAUGUUUCUUCUCUGCUUCCAUUUCUUUUUCGUCAUCACAUAGUUUUUUUUUGUGGUUGGAUGUGUAGACCAUGUGGUAACACUUUUAUGGACAUUUAGAUUUGAAAAUUUCAAAACUUGGUUAACAACAUGUGAUCCUCUGCCACUGUUUUUGUUCUUUUUGGUGCUUGCAUUGCAGUUAACAUAUUGUGCGGUUUUGACAAAAGGGUGUUUUCAGUCUCGUCUAUGGCAUCUCUAGUGAUUACUUAGGUGGUUUGGGGUUUGUCAGAUUUGGACUUAACUGCUCCCUUCUUUCUGUUAUUGCAACCAUUGAUUACAGGGUAGUGAAUUAUUCUUUUCAUGAAGAGGCUAUUUUUGUCCGUUUGUUGUUGAGGUUUCUUUAGUUCAGUCUUUUAUGAGUAUCGGAAUUUUCGAUUCAAUCUUCUUCCCUAAUGGCUCCUUUGUCUUUGUCAAAACUACUAUUGCAUGGAAGUUUCUCAACAAGGAUAUUAAUUUUCACCGGUAUGUGUUGUAUUCUGCUGCCAUGAGGUUUUUAGUUUGGACGCUAGUGUUCUUUGAUGAUCCAAUUGUCUAUGGCUAUGAAUACUUGAUAAGUACUUCACCAAUUUUAUAUCUUUUGAUAGUGGUAUAAAAUACUUCUUCACUUUUAUUCUUGUAGCUACUUGCUUAUCUUCUUUGCUUCCAUUUCGUUGUCGUUAUUACACUAGUUAUUUUUGGUUGGAUGGAUGUGUAGAUCAUGUGGUGAUACUGUUAUGGAUGUUAAAAUUUGGAUAUUUCAAAGCGUGGUUAACCAACAUGUGAUCCUCUGCCACCUUUUGAUCUUUUUGGUGCUUGCACGACAACCUAGAUAUUGUCCGAGCUUUGACAAAAUGGAGUUUUUAGUCACAUAUAUGGCAUCUCUAGUGAUUACUUAAGUGGUUUGGGGUUUGUCGGAUUUACAUUUAACUGUUCCCUUCUUUCUGUUCUUGCAGCCAAUGGUUAUAGGGAAGUGAAUUUUUGUUUUCAUGGAGGGGCCGUGUUUGAUUGUUUGUGUUGAGGUUUUUUUUAGUUAAGUCUUUUAUGAGUAUCGAUAUUACGGAUUUAGUUUUCUUCCUUAAUAGCUCCUUUGUUUUGUAUGGAAGGUUUUCUCAACUAAGAUAUUAAUUUUCACUAGCAUGUGUUAUAUUUUGCUGCCAUGAGGUUUUUAGUCCAGAUGGCUUAUGUUCUUCGAUGAUCCAAUUGAUGAGGUCUCAUUUGUCUAUCGAUUCUUGGUAAGUACUCUGCUAAUUUUGGAUCUUUUGAUAGUUGCGUAAAAUACUUCUUCACUUCUAUUCUUGCAGCUACUUAUCUUCUCCACUUCCAUUUCUUUUUCGUUAUCACAUUAGCUAUUUUUGGUUGGAUGGAUGUGUAGACCACGUGGUGACACUGUUAUGGACGUUCAAAUUUAGAAAUUUCAAAUCUUGGUUAGCCAACAUGUGAUCCUCUGCCACCUUUUGGUCUUUUGGUGCUUUGCACUGCAAUUUGGAUGUUGUUUGGGUUUUGACGAAAGGGGGUUUUAGUCUCGUCUAUGGCAUCUAUAGUGAUUAAUUAGGUGGUUAGUUUGUCAGAUUUGCUCUCAAUUGUUCCCUUCUUUCUAUUCUUGUAGCCAUUGAUUACAGGGCAGUGGAUUAUUCUUUUGACGAUGCAGUCAUGUUUGUCCAUUUGUGUUGAGGUUUCCUUAGUCAAGUCUUUUUUUCUUAAACAGGACAUUAUUCUUCACUGGCGUGUGUUGUAUUCUGCCGCCAAGAAGAUUUAGGUCCAGAUGGCUUUGUUCUUCGAUGAUCCAAUUAAUGACGUCUCCUAUGACUAUGGACACUUGAUAACUCAACCAAUUCUACAUCAUCUGAUAGUGGCGUGAAGUACUUCUUUUACUUUUUUUCUUCUAGCCAUUGGGUCUUACAGAGUGAUGAAUCAUUCUUUUCAUGGAGCGGCUUUCUUUGUCCAUUUAUGUCGAGGUUUCCAUGGUUCAAGCUUUUAUAAGUUCUAACAUUUUCGAGUAAAAUAGUUUUUUUCCCAUUAGUAUGUGUUGUUCUACUGGCAUGUUUAGUUUUUAGUCCAGAUGUUUGUUUUCUUCAAUGAUCCAAUGAUGAGAUUCAUGAUGGUUGAUGGUUAUUGUCUCAUGGACAUCUGACAAGUACUCAAUUUUGGAUCUUUUGAAAGCCUCGUAAAAUGGUUGGUGUCCAGUGUGCAUUCCUGUGCACCCUAUUUCUUGGGCAUGUUGGUGCUUGCACUACAAUCUAGAGAUAGCAGGCUUCGAAAGAAGCUGCUGGGUCUUACAGAGCCAUAGAUUCGUCUUUUCAUGGAGUGGCGUGGUCUGUCAAUUUUGUGUUGAGGUUUUUUGGUUGAUGCUUCUAAUGAUUAUUGAGAUCUUCAAUUCAGUUUUAUUCCCUAAUCAGAAUGGUUCCGUUCUUCCUUGUCAACAAUACUUCACUGGUGUGUAUUUUGUUGCCAUAUAUGUUUCUUAAUAAUCCAGAUGCUUAUGUUCUUUGAUGAUCCAACUGAUGAGAUCUCCAUGGUUAUGGACAACACAUGAUAAGUGUAAUCAAGCUCAGUCUUGGAUCUUCUGAUGGAUCUUUUAAUAGCCUUGUAACACACUUCUCUAGUUUUCGUGUUCUCUCUACUUACCUUUCUCUGAUUUCAUUUAACCUACCAGUUUAUUUAGUUUGGUUGGAUGAAUUUAUAAUUUUGGUUUCGGUGUGCAUCCUUGUGGACCAUGUUGACCAUUUUGGUGCUUGCACUGCAAUUUGGAUAUUGGAUAUCACCAUGCCUUAAGAAAAGGGCACUUUGCAAUCUUAUCUUGUUUGGCAUCUCGAGUGAUCUCUCCCGUGUGGUAUGGUUUUCCACUCACCUGUUACAUUAUUUUUUGUGCAUGUAACCAUUGGGUCUUCCAGAGCAUGGACUUCAAGUCAGUUGUCUUCCUAAUCAGUAUGGAAUAUGAGCAGAUUUGUGAGUUGCAGAAAAGAACGUCCGUCAGAAAGCUUGGCCUCCUGUGCUCGAAGUGAGACCUGAAGGGUGAGCUUAUGGCGCACGAAAUCCAUCUCUCGGUUUUGCAGAUCUAUUUUGAAUUGUGAAUUUGCUGUGAGUUCUCACUUUUGUUGGUUUCUCGAGGUAUCCGGGGUCUUCCUGCUUAGAUUAUGCCAAUUUCUUUCUCUGUUUUACCAGGGUAAUGAUUGUAUGGGUAUAGACAAUGCAGUUUCUGUUGUCGGAUGUCAAUAAUCUUUGUAACGAAGUAAACCUCAUCUCUGGUACCUCCAACAAAUCAUCUUUUCUUGCGUCUUCUCUUUUGGAACACUAUUCAACAGAAGUUUAUGAGCCUUUCCUUGUA